UGCAAGUCGAGCGGUAGCACAGAGAGCUUGCUCUCGGGUGACGAGCGGCGGACGGGUGAGUAAUGUCUGGGAAACUGCCUGAUGGAGGGGGAUAACUACUGGAAACGGUAGCUAAUACCGCAUAACGUCGCAAGACCAAAGUGGGGGACCUUCGGGCCUCAUGCCAUCAGAUGUGCCCAGAUGGGAUUAGCUAGUAGGUGGGGUAACGGCUCACCUAGGCGACGAUCCCUAGCUGGUCUGAGAGGAUGACCAGCCACACUGGAACUGAGACACGGUCCAGACUCCUACGGGAGGCAGCAGUGGGGAAUAUUGCACAAUGGGCGCAAGCCUGAUGCAGCCAUGCCGCGUGUGUGAAGAAGGCCUUCGGGUUGUAAAGCACUUUCAGCGGGGAGGAAGGCGAUAAGGUUAAUAACCUUGUCGAUUGACGUUACCCGCAGAAGAAGCACCGGCUAACUCCGUGCCAGCAGCCGCGGUAAUACGGAGGGUGCAAGCGUUAAUCGGAAUUACUGGGCGUAAAGCGCACGCAGGCGGUCUGUCAAGUCGGAUGUGAAAUCCCCGGGCUCAACCUGGGAACUGCAUUCGAAACUGGCAGGCUAGAGUCUUGUAGAGGGGGGUAGAAUUCCAGGUGUAGCGGUGAAAUGCGUAGAGAUCUGGAGGAAUACCGGUGGCGAAGGCGGCCCCCUGGACAAAGACUGACGCUCAGGUGCGAAAGCGUGGGGAGCAAACAGGAUUAGAUACCCUGGUAGUCCACGCCGUAAACGAUGUCGAUUUGGAGGUUGUGCCCUUGAGGCGUGGCUUCCGGAGCUAACGCGUUAAAUCGACCGCCUGGGGAGUACGGCCGCAAGGUUAAAACUCAAAUGAAUUGACGGGGGCCCGCCCAAGCG
RNAcentral lists this ribosomal RNA (884 nucleotides) under Klebsiella pneumoniae. RNAcentral describes it as "bacterial SSU rRNA". It matches the Rfam family "Bacterial small subunit ribosomal RNA", at positions 56 to 931 of the family's 1533-position model. Lineage: Bacteria; Pseudomonadati; Pseudomonadota; Gammaproteobacteria; Enterobacterales; Enterobacteriaceae. The record is from RNAcentral.